RNAcentral lists this ribosomal RNA (126 nucleotides) under Pteropus alecto (black flying fox). The record is from RNAcentral. Lineage: Eukaryota; Metazoa; Chordata; Mammalia; Chiroptera; Pteropodidae.
GUCUAUGGCUAUGCCACCCUGAACAAGCCUGAUCUUUGAUCUUGUCUGAUCUUGGAAGCUAAGCAAGGUUGGGCCAGGUUAGUACUUCGAUGGGAGACCACCUAGGAAGACCAGGUGCCGUAGGCA